UACCUGCGGUCGGGAGGCGGUCGCGGAC
This 28-nucleotide small RNA is filed under the name Bombyx mori (domestic silkworm). RNAcentral's name for it is "ovarian small RNA-828". The record is from RNAcentral. Lineage: Eukaryota; Metazoa; Arthropoda; Insecta; Lepidoptera; Bombycidae.